AUACAGAGGGUGCAAGCGUUAAUCGGAUUUACUGGGCGUAAAGCGCGCGUAGGUGGCUAAUUAAGUCAAAUGUGAAAUCCCCGAGCUUAACUUGGGAAUUGCAUUCGAUACUGGUUAGCUAGAGUAUGGGAGAGGAUGGUAGAAUUCCAGGUGUAGCGGUGAAAUGCGUAGAGAUCUGGAGGAAUACCGAUGGCGAAGGCAGCCAUCUGGCCUAAUACUGACACUGAGGUGCGAAAGCAUGGGGAGCAAACAGAAUUAGAUACCCUGGUAGUCCAUGCCGUAAACGAUGUCUACUAGCCGUUGGGGCCCUUGAGGCUUUAGUGGCGCAGCUAACGCGAUAAGUAGACCGCCUGGGGAGUACGGUCGCAAGACUAAAACUCAAAUGAAUUGACGGGG
RNAcentral lists this ribosomal RNA (396 nucleotides) under uncultured bacterium. RNAcentral describes it as "partial 16S ribosomal RNA". It matches the Rfam family "Bacterial small subunit ribosomal RNA", at positions 523 to 918 of the family's 1533-position model. The record is from RNAcentral.